This 1024-nucleotide unclassified non-coding RNA is filed under the name Bursaphelenchus pinasteri. Its description in RNAcentral is "sequence contains 18S rRNA gene (partial), ITS1, 5.8S rRNA gene, ITS2 and 28S rRNA gene (partial)". The stretch from base 384 to 536 matches the Rfam family "5.8S ribosomal RNA". The record is from RNAcentral. Lineage: Eukaryota; Metazoa; Nematoda; Chromadorea; Rhabditida; Aphelenchoididae.
CGUAACAAGGUAGCUGUAGGUGAACCUUCGGCUGGAUCAUUACCGAUCAACAAACACCUUUUACGCCGGUUAGCGUUAAGCGAGCCGAAUUUCGUUGUUGCUGUUGGCAAUUUGUUCGUUUGCGCGCAGAUUGUUGAUGGCAAUGGCGAGCGUGUGCGCAGCAGAAAUGUUGUGCAUGCCACCUAAUCGAAAACGAAUCCUAACGGCUUGGUUUGGCUUCUGUGGAAGGUUGAGCAGUUGUGUUAAACGUCCGUGACUGCGCAUGAAACCGACCGACAGCUUCUCCGCUUCGGCGUUGAUGGAGUGAGAAUCAAUGACCCCGAGAGGGCGCCAAACAAACACCCAUUCAUUUGUUUUAUUUUAUGUGAUAUUGAAAGUAACAAAAGUUACUCCGGUGGAUCACUCGGUUCGCGGGUCGAUGAAAAACGCAGUGAAUUGCGAUAAGAAGUACGAAUUACAGAUAUUAUGAGUACCAUGUUUUUGAAUGCAUAUUGCGCCGUUGGGUUAUGCUCAUCGGCAUAUGUGAUUCAGGGUAUGUUUCCAUACAACACAGCUCUCAUUUGUGUCUUCGGAACGGCGAAGUUUUGUAAUAGAGUGACUGUUGAAGACUGGCAACUGUUCGGGCGCCGCCUAACAGCGAGUGUUUGUGCAGUUGUUUUUCGUGGUCAGAUGCUUUUGCAUCGGAAAGCUACGUUUUCGAAGUGGUGUUCGGGUUGGCGUUGGGUCUUCGAUUCGGCGCUCUCGAAACAAUCGGGAUAUUGGCAGCGUGAUUUGCUUGAAACGUUGAUGCGUAUAAGUUGAUUUGCUUUGUUGCAAUUUGAACGCUUCGAUGUGGAGUAGUCGUGUUGUUGAGGGUCGGGCGUUUCUUGCCAUCUUUGGUGGGGAACGUUGGGCUGCCUGGUUGGCACUGUCUUUGCUAGUUUCAAACUACCUGAAUUACGUAUGAUUACCUGCCGAACUUAAGCAUAUCAGUAAGCAGAGGAAAAGAAACAAACAUGGAUUCCCUUAGUAACGGCGAGUGAAA